UAGGGAAUCUUCGGCAAUGGGGGGAACCCUGACCGAGCAACGCCGCGUGAGUGAAGAAGGUUUUCGGAUCGUAAAGCUCUGUUGUUAAGGAAGAACGAGUGUGAGAAUGGAAAGUUCAUACUGUGACGGUACUUAACCAGAAAGGGACGGCUAACUACGUGCCAGCAGCCGCGGUAAUACGUAGGUCCCGAGCGUUGUCCGGAUUUAUUGGGCGUAAAGCGAGCGCAGGCGGUUAGAUAAGUCUGAAGUUAAAGGCAGUGGCUCAACCAUUGUAGGCUUUGGAAACUGUUUAACUUGAGUGCAGAAGGGGAGAGUGGAAUUCCAUGUGUAGCGGUGAAAUGCGUAGAUAUAUGGAGGAACACCGGUGGCGAAAGCGGCUCUCUGGUCUGUAACUGACGCGGAGGCUCGAAAGCGUAGGGAGCGAACAGG
This 429-nucleotide ribosomal RNA is filed under the name Bacteroidota bacterium. RNAcentral describes it as "Bacteroidetes bacterium partial 16S ribosomal RNA". It matches the Rfam family "Bacterial small subunit ribosomal RNA", at positions 355 to 776 of the family's 1533-position model. The record is from RNAcentral. Lineage: Bacteria; Pseudomonadati; Bacteroidota.